This 549-nucleotide ribosomal RNA is filed under the name uncultured Glomeromycotina. Its description in RNAcentral is "SSU rRNA". It matches the Rfam family "Eukaryotic small subunit ribosomal RNA", at positions 548 to 1098 of the family's 1831-position model. Lineage: Eukaryota; Fungi; Glomeromycota. The record is from RNAcentral.
UUGGAGGGCAAGUCUGGUGCCAGCAGCCGCGGUAAUUCCAGCUCCAAUAGCGUAUAUUAAAGUUGUUGCAGUUAAAAAGCUCGUAGUUGAAUUUCGGGAUCAGCAAGUUGGUCGUGCCUCUGGUACGUACUGGCUUUACUGGUUCCUCCUUCUUGAAGAACUGUAAUGUCAUUAAUUUGGUGUUGCAGGGAAACAGGACUGUUACUUUGAAAAAAUUAGAGUGUUUAAAGCAAGCUAACGCUUGAAUACAUUAGCAUGGAAUAAUAAAAUAGGACGUUUGAUCCUAUUUUGUUGGUUUCUAGGAUUGACGUAAUGAUUAAUAGGGAUAGUUGGGGGCAUUAGUAUUCAAUUGUCAGAGGUGAAAUUCUUGGAUUUAUUGAAGACUAACUACUGCGAAAGCAUUUGCCAAGGAUGUUUUCAUUAAUCAAGAACGAAAGUUAGGGGAUCGAAGACGAUCAGAUACCGUCGUAGUCUUAACCAUAAACUAUGCCGACUAGGGAUCGGAUGAUGUUAAUUUUUUAAUGACUCAUUCGGCGCCUUACGGGAAAC